Small nucleolar RNA from Meriones unguiculatus (Mongolian gerbil), 133 nucleotides. NCBI's taxonomy places the organism in Eukaryota, Metazoa, Chordata, Mammalia, Rodentia, Muridae. The record is from Ensembl.
CCUGCCGCUAGAAACAUUGCAGGUGUGGCCUGCUGUGUCACAUGUGCUUGAGUAGGUGGCAGAGAGGAGAGAGGCUAGGUCCACACUCAGUGCUCUGACCUAUAAACAUCAAAAUGAUCAGUAGCCUAACAGU